Molecule: ribosomal RNA, 496 nt
Filed under: uncultured bacterium
Lineage: Bacteria
Description: partial 16S ribosomal RNA
Rfam family: Bacterial small subunit ribosomal RNA
Source: RNAcentral
AUGAACGCUGGCGGCGUGCCUAAUACAUGCAAGUCGCGCGAACAGACGAGGAGCUUGCUCCUCUGACGUUAGCGGCGGACGGGUGAGUAACACGUGGAUAACCUACCUAUAAGACUGGGAUAACUUCGGGAAACCGGAGCUAAUACCGGAUAAUAUAUUGAACCGCAUGGUUCAAUAGUGAAAGACGGUUUUGCUGUCACUUAUAGAUGGAUCCGCGCCGCAUUAGCUAGUUGGUAAGGUAACGGCUUACCAAGGCAACGAUGCGUAGCCGACCUGAGAGGGUGAUCGGCCACACUGGGACUGAGACACGGUCCAGACUCCUACGGGAGGCAGCAGUAGGGAAUCUUCCGCAAUGGGCGAAAGCCUGACGGAGCAACGCCGCGUGAGUGAUGAAGGUCUUCGGAUCGUAAAACUCUGUUAUUAGGGAAGAACAAAUGUGUAAGUAACUAUGCACGUCUUGACGGUACCUAAUCAGAAAGCCACGGCUAACUACGUG